UUCCGGGUGAUAGGGAGGGACUUCGGGUCAUCGCUAUUUGCUGGAGAAAAGAAAUGGCCGAAUCCACAAGGCUAAACCUUUCUGGAGAAGAAUUGGAGAAUAGGCAAAAGGAAACUAGUUUGACACCAUUAUUAGAGAGGAGAAGAGGCUAAAGCUCUUUGGAGAAGGAUCGAAAAUUUGUUGUUCGUCUCCGUUACCGGAUUUGGAGGAGCAGAGGCAAAAAGCACCUUCAGGAUCUGAGAAGUUGGAAAAGGAAAUGCUGCCGUUAUCAUCAUCAUCAGAGGAGGAGAAGCAGAGGAAAAAAGAGGCACACCUGGAGAAGAUGCUUAAAUAUUUCUUCGGAAACGCAGAGGAGGCUAUGAGGAAGAGAGAGAGUAAUCUUGCAACCUUUAGAGAGGCGCAUAAGAGGCAACGAGAAUUGUAUGAAGCAGGAAGUCGGAAGCCGGAACAACAACUUCUUUUUUUUUUUGGCGUUUUGAAGUUUGCUUAUUUGUGGGUUUUGGUAUCUUGAGAUGAUUGAGCUUUGGUAGGCUUUCUAUUGGGAUGACUAUGUGCAAACACGGCCAUUGUUGGUUUGCCGAGCUGUGAGUUUUGUUUUGGCAAGCUGCCGGGGAGGCGUUGUGUCACAGGAGGAAAGGAAGAGGCAUUUGAACCACCAAACUACAGCUCCACAGUAAUAUGAUUUGCUUGGUCAUCUGCCAAAAGCAUUUCCUAAAAGAAUAUUACUGCUUUCUGGUUCCAUCAUCACUUCCUAUCCUAGUUGUUGCAAUACAAUUUCACUGGUUCAGGAUGAAGAUCUUCAAGCAUACACAGAUGGAUUCGUUGAUGGACCAUUCGGUCAAUUCAUUAGGAAGAUUAAAACAAUUCUGGUGACCAAAUUGAUCAAAACGUUGGGCGACUUAUGGUGCCUCUUGAGGAGUCCUCGAAGCGGAUCCUGCUGGAAGGUUUUUACUGGAUUGUUGGUACUAGUAUUGGUGAUCUUCUAUUUUGCUGGGAGAGUAUUUCGUGUUGGGGGAGACCUUUAAUUUUGUUGGGAGAGUCCUUCGCAGGGAGAGUAUUGCCACAAAUGUACAGUUUGUUGUUUCUAUUGAUUAGUAUCUCGUAUUCACAAUUGAGCUAGUAGUAUUGGUAACUAAAGUGAUUUGUUUGGUGGAUAACGAAGAGGAUAAUGCCACAAUUGUACAAAUUUAUUUUUUAAAAAGAAUUCG
This is a long non-coding RNA of Nicotiana tabacum (common tobacco), 1208 nucleotides long. RefSeq lists it as uncharacterized. NCBI's taxonomy places the organism in Eukaryota, Viridiplantae, Streptophyta, Magnoliopsida, Solanales, Solanaceae. The record is from RefSeq and is a predicted model, not a curated record.